AUUGAACGCUGGCGGCAUGCCUUACACAUGCAAGUCGAACGGCAGCACGGGAGCAAUCCUGGUGGCGAGUGGCGAACGGGUGAGUAAAGUAUCGGAACGUGCCCAGUCGUGGGGGAUAACGUAGCGAAAGUUACGCUAAUACCGCAUACGAUCUAUGGAUGAAAGCGGGGGAUCGCAAGACCUCGCGCGAUUGGAGCGGCCGAUAUCAGAUUAGGUAGUUGGUGGGGGAAAGGCCCACCAAGCCGACGAUCUGUAGCUGGUCUGAGAGGACGACCAGCCACACUGGGACUGAGACCCGGCCCAGACUCCUGCGGGAGGCAGCAGUGGGGAAUUUUGGACAAUGGGCGAAAGCCUGAUCCAGCCAUGCCGCGUGCAGGAUGAAGGCCUUCGGGUUGUAAACUGCUUUUGUACGGAACGAAAAGGUUUGGCCUAAUAAGCUGAGCUCAUGACGGUACCGUAAGAAUAAGCACCGGCUAACUACGUGCCAGCCGCCGCGGUAA
Molecule: ribosomal RNA, 500 nt
Filed under: uncultured bacterium
Lineage: Bacteria
Description: partial 16S ribosomal RNA
Rfam family: Bacterial small subunit ribosomal RNA
Source: RNAcentral